RNAcentral lists this long non-coding RNA (376 nucleotides) under Fragaria vesca (wild strawberry). RNAcentral describes it as "long non-coding RNA (FVES_LNC003185)". The record is from RNAcentral. Lineage: Eukaryota; Viridiplantae; Streptophyta; Magnoliopsida; Rosales; Rosaceae.
GUUUCUGCUCCUAGGUCGAGUCUGCCAGACUUUCUGGUUUACGCGUCUGUUUGUGUUUCUUGUGUGUUUAAUUCUUAGUAUCACCAAUCCUCUGUGGGUAAUGACCCCUAUUUGCCGUUUACUACAUUGAUAUAAUUGAUUUGAUAAUAGGGUAUCUUUGUAAGUGCUUUUGCGCCUAUCAGCUAUCACCGUCGGCGGAGGAUGGAGAGUAUACAUAACUUGACUACUAUUGUUACUCUAAUCAUUCUCAUCAAUACCAUCGAUUGACAAUGAAAUAACUAAAAGAUUCCCCCAUACGUAAACUAAGAUCUUUAUGUAGCAGACCUAUAUGACCAAAUACGUAGUUGGUCUCCGAUUGCAACCUUCACCUGUAACG